RNAcentral lists this ribosomal RNA (599 nucleotides) under Brevibacterium sediminis. RNAcentral's name for it is "bacterial SSU rRNA". It matches the Rfam family "Bacterial small subunit ribosomal RNA", at positions 459 to 1056 of the family's 1533-position model. The record is from RNAcentral. Lineage: Bacteria; Bacillati; Actinomycetota; Actinomycetes; Micrococcales; Brevibacteriaceae.
AGAAGCGAAAGUGACGGUACCUGCAGAAGAAGUACCGGCUAACUACGUGCCAGCAGCCGCGGUAAUACGUAGGGUACGAGCGUUGUCCGGAAUUAUUGGGCGUAAAGAGCUCGUAGGUGGUUGGUCACGUCUGCUGUGGAAACGCAACGCUUAACGUUGCGCGUGCAGUGGGUACGGGCUGACUAGAGUGCAGUAGGGGAGUCUGGAAUUCCUGGUGUAGCGGUGAAAUGCGCAGAUAUCAGGAGGAACACCGGUGGCGAAGGCGGGACUCUGGGCUGUAACUGACACUGAGGAGCGAAAGCAUGGGGAGCGAACAGGAUUAGAUACCCUGGUAGUCCAUGCCGUAAACGUUGGGCACUAGGUGUGGGGGACAUUCCACGUUCUCCGCGCCGUAGCUAACGCAUUAAGUGCCCCGCCUGGGGAGUACGGUCGCAAGGCUAAAACUCAAAGGAAUUGACGGGGGCCCGCACAAGCGGCGGAGCAUGCGGAUUAAUUCGAUGCAACGCGAAGAACCUUACCAAGGCUUGACAUACACUGGACCGUUCUGGAAACAGUUCUUCUCUUUGGAGCUGGUGUACAGGUGGUGCAUGGUUGUCGUC